AAGUCGUAACAAGGUUUCCGUUGGUGAACCUGCGGAAGGAGCAUUAACACGUAUCCAAACGUUAACACCCCCCCCCGUGAACCUUCAUCCUGCUCUUGUAACCCGCGUAGUUCGCAAUCUCUGAUAAAUCAUAGCCCGGAAAGUUGUAGUGAUUCAGAGACCUCUGGCUACGUGCGAACAUUGGAACAGUUACAAUCGAGCGGUAGUUCUAUAGGCAAUGUUUCCCCAAGCAGUCAGUGUCGGAAAGUGUCAUUGAUUGUGCAAGGAUAGCGCUUCUACGAUUCCUGUAGACCGUACACUCGGAAUGUGAAGCUCAAUGUAAUACAUUGGGUAAAAAAACCGAACAACUGUUAACAAUGGAUAUCUUGGUUCUC
RNAcentral lists this unclassified non-coding RNA (374 nucleotides) under fungal sp. Its description in RNAcentral is "partial internal transcribed spacer region". The stretch from base 1 to 46 matches the Rfam family "Eukaryotic small subunit ribosomal RNA". Lineage: Eukaryota; Fungi. The record is from RNAcentral.